GGGGGACCUUCGGGCCUCUUGCCAUCAGAUGUGCCCAGAUGGGAUUAGCUUGUUGGUGAGGUAACGGCUCACCAAGGCGACGAUCCCUAGCUGGUCUGAGAGGAUGACCAGCCACACUGGAACUGAGACACGGUCCAGACUCCUACGGGAGGCAGCAGUGGGGAAUAUUGCACAAUGGGCGCAAGCCUGAUGCAGCCAUGCCGCGUGUAUGAAGAAGGCCUUCGGGUUGUAAAGUACUUU
This 240-nucleotide ribosomal RNA is filed under the name Salmonella enterica subsp. enterica. Its description in RNAcentral is "partial 16S ribosomal RNA". It matches the Rfam family "Bacterial small subunit ribosomal RNA", at positions 194 to 436 of the family's 1533-position model. The record is from RNAcentral. Lineage: Bacteria; Pseudomonadati; Pseudomonadota; Gammaproteobacteria; Enterobacterales; Enterobacteriaceae.